ACUUUAAAUUAUGACACUCUGGAG
RNAcentral lists this non-coding RNA (24 nucleotides) under Cricetulus griseus (Chinese hamster). Lineage: Eukaryota; Metazoa; Chordata; Mammalia; Rodentia; Cricetidae. The record is from RNAcentral.